GCCAGGCAUGGUGGUGCACACUUGUAGUCCAAGCUACUCGGGAGGCUGAGGUGGGAGAAUUGCUUGAGCCCAGGAGCUCAAGGCUGCAGUGAGCCAUGAUCACCACUGCACUCUAGCCUGGGCAACAGAGCAAGACCCUGUCUCGA
Homo sapiens (human) is the source of this 146-nucleotide non-coding RNA. It matches the Rfam family "Metazoan signal recognition particle RNA". From Rfam's summary of the family: The signal recognition particle (SRP) is a universally conserved ribonucleoprotein. It is involved in the co-translational targeting of proteins to membranes. The eukaryotic SRP consists of a 300-nucleotide 7S RNA and six proteins: SRPs 72, 68, 54, 19, 14, and 9. NCBI's taxonomy places the organism in Eukaryota, Metazoa, Chordata, Mammalia, Primates, Hominidae. The record is from Rfam.